Long non-coding RNA from Lucilia sericata (common green bottle fly), 1290 nucleotides. RefSeq lists it as uncharacterized. Lineage: Eukaryota; Metazoa; Arthropoda; Insecta; Diptera; Calliphoridae. The transcript is spliced from 3 exons. The record is from RefSeq and is a predicted model, not a curated record.
GUUUUUAUAAAACACAUGUAAAGAAGAAUGUUUAAAUUUAUUGCAAGAAUUUGGAAAAUUAUUAGAAAAGAAAUCAGUUUCUUGUAAAUUUUAAAAUAUUGCAUUGAUUUUAAUAACAUUAAUGCAAUUGUGAAAUAGAAAUAGAUAAUCUUAAAGAUGAUAUUAAAGAAAUUCUUAAUAACAUGCAAAGUAAACAAUAUAAUUAAAAUAUAACUUUCUUAAAAUAUGCUGUGGAACAAAAGCUGCUUCAAAUGCAAAAUUCUAUAGUUGUGACAACAAAUUCUGGCACACCUGAUCAUUAACUACGUGAUGCCUUCAGACUACAAAAAAAAUAUUUUUUAAAAAGACAUGCUCUACAAAAACGAGAGACAAAGUAAAUUAAUUCUGUGUUUAAUCAUAAUGUUGAGAUUUCGGUCUUUUUAAAUAUAUGCAAUCAAACAUUUUCUAUAAAAAAUAAUUGAAUUUAAUCAUCGUUCUCAAUAUAAAAAUGUUUGUUCGUAUUAGACAAACGGACCAUUUCAUUACAAUUUCUAUACCAUUCAAUACAUUUUGAAUGUGUAUUUUCGAAAUAGCUAAGAAAAAGCUAUUUUUCAGUAAUCAACAAUAAAAAUAUAUCUGACGAGAUAAAUAACUAUAUGUAUAAAAGAAACAAACUGAAAUUUUUAAUAAUGUAUUUAUAUGUAUAAUAUUUUAAUUUACACUUAAUGCUUCCGUUGCUGUAAAAUACAUUUAUUGAAUUAAAAUAUUUUUUUAAUAACAAAAUAUUUUAAAAUGAUAUUUUAUAAUUUAACUGCCUUAUUCCAAAACGAUUAUUGAAGUUAACAAUUUUUUACAACACACUUUUUCCAUAAAAACAGGUUUUAAUAACCAUUGUUAACUUUAAUAAUCGUUUUCGGAUAAGGCAGUUAAUAUUUAAUAAUUUACACUAAUUUAAUGAAUUAAAAAUGAAAUCCAGUAUUUUUUAUAUAUUAAAGACCAGAAGUUUAUAAUAUAUAAUUAUUGUUUGGAGUACCUAAAAAAGUAAUGUUAAAUAAUUAUCGUAUAAAUAAAAAAUAGUAUUAUUUAAUUUGAUUUUACUCUAAUUUUGUUUUACCAAUUUAUAAACAUGUAUUAUGUAUGUAUGUGUACAGUAAAAAACUAAGUGCGACAGUUUUAUUGCAGCUAGGUACUGUUGUGAUCAGACGAUAGAUUGCUUACAAUAAACCAGUUAAUUGACUACACCUACAUAUAGUCAACACGUAUGUCCCAUAAAAAUAGUUAACUACUUGUAACAUACUAUUCGACUCUCAC